AUAGAUUUUAAGAAGGGUUAAUAAUGUAAUUUAAAAAAAACAAAAAAAAACUCAAAAUUGGCUAAAAAUGCAAAAAGUCCCGUUGGGCAACGGUGCUGGACUGUUGCCAACGGUCAAGUGGGCCCCAUGGUUUCAGAAAAUUUUUUUUUAAAAAAAAAAAAAAAAAUUUUACCGUUGGGGACCGGUCCGGACCGGUCCGGGUUG
This 204-nucleotide long non-coding RNA is filed under the name Nicotiana benthamiana. Its description in RNAcentral is "long non-coding RNA (NBEN_LNC034898)". Lineage: Eukaryota; Viridiplantae; Streptophyta; Magnoliopsida; Solanales; Solanaceae. The record is from RNAcentral.